UGAGAGAGAUUUUCUUAGUGGGAGGUCUACCAAUCUCAAACAAACCUGUCCUGAAGGCUGGCAGAAGUUUGAAUCCAGUUGGUACUUCCUGUCUACUGAGACUAAAACCUGGAAGGAGAGCAGAGAGGACUGUCUGGAGAGAGGAGCAGACCUGGUGAUCAUAAACAGUGAUAAGGAACAGACAUUUCUCUUCAACCUCAAGAAGAGAGUCUGGAUUGGUCUGACUGACUCUGUUAUUGAGGGGACCUGGAAAUGGGUGGACGGCACCCCACUGACCACAAGGUGAGAGAUGAUAACUAAUAUGUCAAUAAGGCUCCAUUCAACCUUUUCUAUACAUGUUAUUGUCAUUGAUGGCAUCAGUCAACAAAGUUAAUU
Long non-coding RNA from Oncorhynchus tshawytscha (Chinook salmon), 375 nucleotides. RefSeq lists it as uncharacterized. The transcript is spliced from 3 exons. NCBI's taxonomy places the organism in Eukaryota, Metazoa, Chordata, Actinopteri, Salmoniformes, Salmonidae. The record is from RefSeq and is a predicted model, not a curated record.